GUGGAAAAAUAAUUCUCUACUGGUCCAUGGAUGUGCUGCGUCAUCUUCUUCUCGUCUCGGUCUUGAUCGAAAACCUUGGAUUUCCUCCUGAAUCAGCAGUAAACCUGCGUCAAACUGCGGAAAUUGUUUCCGAGUACAUAGCAGCCGACUACUGAACUGCACCUUCGUUAUGGAAUGUGUUGGGCACUUUUAAGUUUUCCGUUUGUUGUUCCCCAGGAGAUCCAUACGUCGAGCACCUGUGCCAAUCUUUACUGCGGCAAAUGCCUCCGGGUACAUAGCAGCCGACUGCUAAGCUAUCUUCAUCGCGGAUUCUUGGAAAAACGUUCUAUUCCUGCUAUUUUGGGAAGUAUCAAGUUUUCCCCUUGCUGUUUCCGGUAGAUCCAUACAACGUGCACCGACAAGCACUACCACCACUCGGAUAACUUCGCCAUUAUUUAUAAAAAUCUUUAAUUGAAGUAUUGAAAUGGAAUAAAAAUAAACAUCGAUGGAAAAAUUAAACUGUAAACAACAACUCUAUGAGGGCAGGCUGGGUACUACCCAAAUGGUUCUCUACCCUACUUUGGACUCCGCAAGACACUCCGAUCGAAUAGAGUUCGCCGCCGUACCAAACUGACAAUCUACAAAACGCUCAUUAGACCUAGUCCUCUACUGACACGAGACCUGGACGAUGCUCGUGGAGGACCAAUGUGCAGUUGGAGUUUUCGAAAGGAAAGUGCUGCGUACCAUCUAUGGUGGGGUGCAGAUGGCGGACGGUACGUGGAGGAGGCGAAUGAACCACGAGUUGCAUCAGCUGCUGGGAGAACCAUCCAUCGUUCACAC
Molecule: long non-coding RNA, 819 nt
Organism: Armigeres subalbatus
Lineage: Eukaryota; Metazoa; Arthropoda; Insecta; Diptera; Culicidae
Exons: 3
Source: RefSeq, a predicted model, not a curated record